RNAcentral lists this long non-coding RNA (1404 nucleotides) under Equus caballus (horse). RNAcentral describes it as "lncRNA (ENSECAG00000048800.1)". The record is from RNAcentral. Lineage: Eukaryota; Metazoa; Chordata; Mammalia; Perissodactyla; Equidae.
AUGGGAUGCUGUGUCAGGAAUCACAGGGGGGAUGCAGGUGGUACAGGGCGGUGCUGUCAAUACUCUGCUAACAAAACAACCUUAGAUACUAAUGUAUUUAACCCUUCCCCACCUCAAAUUCUACUUUAAUACCAAGAACCCUUUUUCUGCUGAGGGCACUCAUUUCCCACCUCCUGCCACAGGUCACCUGGUUUGGAGAUUUGUUCUGAGCUCCUACCUGACUCCUGGUGUCCACAGUGCUGCUCUGGCUGCAUAUCCUUCCUCUGUCCCACCCCAUGGUGAAAAUGUGUCCACAGUGAACAGGAAUGAGACCUGCAUGGUGUGGACCGUCCAGGGAGGCAGGCCGGAAAAGCAGGUGGAGACCUGGUGCCUGUCUUCCUGGGCAGUGAUCCCUCAUACGUGCCCACCUUCCUGGGUACCUGCAGAGCUUUUGCCACCAACCAAUAGCACUUGACCUGCUGUUCAAAAAUGUGGAUGCAUCCUCCCUUACUCUGAUGAGGAUGGCAGACCCCUAGACCAACUGAAAAAAUACUCAUGGAGAACUGACUGUGUCAGCAAGUGCAGUGAAUGAGCAGACAUCUCUCCCUGUCCUCAUGGAGUUGACGUACCAGUGGGGAGUGUCGGGGAGACAGAUAGACCAGUGUGUCAGGCUUCCCUGAAGAAGAAGAGAGAGCUCAACAUGCCCUGCUUGGACCUAGAGUGCCAUGCCUACCUCCUCCUGGCAAAAACCUAGAGCUUCAUGAGUCCAUUGAUGCCAAGGCACCAGCUCCACAACAAGCCCUAGAACCACUUCAAGAGCUAGCACCAGCUCCAACUCAACUGCCCACUACAGCUCCAGAGCCAGAUCAGACUCAGGCCCAGUUUUCGUUUAAGCUCUAGAGCUAGAAGAAGCAUGUACGCAGGCUCCAAUUCCAGAGCCAGAGGAAUUCAAGCAACAGCUCUCACCCAAGCUCCAUAGCUAGAACCAUCACAAAAACCUGUUCUAGUAUUUGCUCCAGAACUCUAGCCACUUCCGUCCAUAGCCUCGAUUCCAGAGCUUAAGCCUACACCAGCAAGAGCCCUACCAUUAGUUCUUGAGCUCCAUAGUGCUUUGGCACAGCUCCAGCUCCAGAGCGUAAUCUGGUUCCAGCUCUAGAUCUAGAGACAACAAUAGACCCAGUUCUUAUAGUUACUCCAGUGCCAGAUCCAGUUCCUCCCCCAGUAUACUAGAGCUGGUACCAGCUCAACAACUAGCACCAGCCCCUGCAGCAUCUCCAGGUCCCGGUCCUUAGCUGCAACUAGUGCCAGCUGCAGCCCCAGAGACUUCCUUCCCCUCCCCUAUAAUUCCACUUUUUAAAAUUUUGUUUUUUUCUUAUAUAUACUCAAUAUUUUACUCUAUUCUAGUGUAUAAAAUUCCCUUAAAAU